GAGGCGAACCGGGGGAACUGAAACAUCUAAGUACCCCGAGGAAAAGAAAUCAACCGAGAUUCCGAAAGUAGCGGCGAGCGAAAUUGGACUAGCCCUUAAGCUUUACACGCGUUAGACGAACGGUCUGGAAAGUCCGACGAUACAGGGUGAUAGUCCCGUAGUUGACGAYGUGUGUUCAGUGAAAUCGAGUAGGGCGGGACACGUGAUAUCCUGUCUGAAUAUGGGGGGACCAUCCUCCAAGGCUAAAUACUACUGACUGACCGAUAGUGAACCAGUACCGUGAGGGAAAGGCGAAAAGAACCCCUGUGAGGGGAGUGAAAUAGAACCUGAAACCGUGUACGUACAAGCAGUAGGAGCAGGCUUUGUCCUGUGACUGCGUACCUUUUGUAUAAUGGGUCAGCGACUUAUAUUCAGUGGCAAGGUUAACCAUCUAGGGGAGCCGUAGGGAAACCGAGUCUUAACUGGGCGUUCAGUCUCUGGAUAUAGACCCGAAACCAGGUGAUCUAGCCAUGGGCAGGUUGAAGGUUGAGUAACAUCAACUGGAGGACCGAACCGACUAAUGUUGAAAAAUUAGCGGAUGACUUGUGGCUAGGGGUGAAAGGCCAAUCAAACCUGGAGAUAGCUGGUUCUCCCCGAAAGCUAUUUAGGUAGCGCCUCGGACGAAUACUACUGGGGGUAGAGCACUGUUAAGGCUAGGGGGUCAUCCCGACUUACCAACCCUUUGCAAACUCCGAAUACCAGUAAGUACUAUCCGGGAGACACACGGCGGGUGCUAACGUCCGUCGUGGAGAGGGAAACAACCCAGACCGCCAGCUAAGGUCCCAAAUUACUACUAAGUGGGAAACGAUGUGGGAAGGCUCAGACAGCCAGGAUGUUGGCUUAGAAGCAGCCAUCAUUUAAAGAAAGCGUAAUAGCUCACUGGUCGAGUCGGCCUGCGCGGAAGAUGUAACGGGGCUAAGUAGUAAACCGAAGCUGCGGCAAUAUACUUUUGUAUAUUGGGUAGGGGAGCGUUCUGUAAGCGGUUGAAGGUGUGUGGUAACGCAUGCUGGACGUAUCAGAAGUGCGAAUGCUGACAUGAGUAACGAUAAAGGGGGUGAAAAACCUCCUCGCCGGAAGACCAAGGGUUCCUGUCCAACGUUAAUCGGGGCAGGGUAAGUCGACCCCUAAGGCGAGGCCGAAAGGCGUAGUCGAUGGGAAACGGGUUAAUAUUCCCGUACUUCUUACAAUUGCGAUGGGGGGACGGAGAAGGCUAGGUGGGCCUGGCGACGGUUGUCCAGGUUCAAGUGCGUAGGCUUGAGAGUUAGGUAAAUCCGGCUCUCUUUAAGGCUGAGACACGACGUCGAGCAYCUACGGRUGUGAAGUCAUUGAUGCCAUGCUUCCAGGAAAAGCCUCUAAGCUUCAGAUUGUAAGGAAUCGUACCCCAAACCGACACAGGUGGUCGGGUAGAGAAUACCAAGGCGCUUGAGAGAACUCGGGUGAAGGAACUAGGCAAAAUGGUACCGUAACUUCGGGAGAAGGUACGCUCUCGACGGUGAAGUCCCUCGCGGAUGGAGCUAUUGAGAGUCGCAGAUACCAGGUGGCUGCAACUGUUUAUUAAAAACACAGCACUGUGCAAAAUCGUAAGAUGACGUAUACGGUGUGACGCCUGCCCGGUGCCGGAAGGUUAAUUGAUGGGGUUAGACUUCGGUCGAAGCUCUUGAUCGAAGCCCCGGUAAACGGCGGCCGUAACUAUAACGGUCCUAAGGUAGCGAAAUUCCUUGUCGGGUAAGUUCCGACCUGCACGAAUGGCGUAAUGAUGGCCACGCUGUCUCCACCCGAGACUCAGUGAAAUUGAAAUCGCUGUGAAGAUGCAGUGUACCCGCGGCUAGACGGAAAGACCCCGUGAACCUUUACUACAGCUUGGCACUGAACAUUGACCCUACAUGUGUAGGAUAGGUGGGAGGCUUUGAAGMMSGUACGCCAGUAUSKKUGGAGCCGUCCUUGAAAUACCACCCUUGUAGUGUUGAUGUUCUAACGUCGACCCCUUAUCGGGGUURCGGACAGUGCCUGGUGGGUAGUUUGACUGGGGCGGUCUCCUCCCAAAGAGUAACGGAGGAGCACGAAGGUGGGCUAAUCACGGUUGGACAUCGUGAGGUUAGUGCAAUGGCAUAAGCCCGCUUGACUGCGAGAAUGACAAUUCGAGCAGGUGCGAAAGCAGGUCAUAGUGAUCCGGUGGUUCUGAAUGGAAGGGCCAUCGCUCAACGGAUAAAAGGUACUCCGGGGAUAACAGGCUGAUACCGCCCAAGAGUUCAUAUCGACGGCGGUGUUUGGCACCUCGAUGUCGGCUCAUCACAUCCUGGGGCUGAAGUCGGUCCCAAGGGUAUGGCUGUUCGCCAUUUAAAGUGGUACGCGAGCUGGGUUUAGAACGUCGUGAGACAGUUCGGUCCCUAUCUGCCGUGGGCGUUGGAAGAUUGAAGGGGGCUGCUCCUAGUACGAGAGGACCGGAGUGGACGAACCUCUGGUGUUCGGGUUGUGUCGCCAGACGCAUUGCCCGGUAGCUAAGUUCGGAAUCGAUAACCGCUGAAAGCAUCUAAGCGGGAAGCGAGCCCUGAGAUGAGUCUUCCCUGAUACUUUAAGUAUCCUAAAGGGUUGUCGGAGACUACGACGUUGAUAGGUCAGGUGUGUAAGUGCUGUGAGGCAUUGAGCUAACUGAUACUAAUUGCCCGUGAGGCUUAACCAUACAACACCCAAGGGGUUU
This 2737-nucleotide ribosomal RNA is filed under the name Vibrio parahaemolyticus. Its description in RNAcentral is "partial 23S ribosomal RNA". Lineage: Bacteria; Pseudomonadati; Pseudomonadota; Gammaproteobacteria; Vibrionales; Vibrionaceae. The record is from RNAcentral.